AAUCAACGCUGGCGGCGUGCCUCAGACAUGCAAGUCGAACGCGAAAGUCCCCUUCGGGGGACGAGUAGAGUGGCGCACGGGUGAGUAACACGUAGGUAAUCUACCUUCGGAUGGGGAAUAACAACCGGAAACGGUUGCUAAUACCGCAUAAUGCAGCGGCACCUAAUGGUGACAGUUGUUAAAGCGGGGGAUCGUAAGACCUCGCGUCUGAAGAGGAGCCUGCGGCAGAUUAGCUAGUUGGUAAGGUAAUGGCUUACCAAGGCGAUGAUCUGUAGCCGGCCUGAGAGGGCGGUCGGCCACACUGACACUGACAUACGGGUCAGACUCCUACGGGAGGCAGCAGUCGGGAAUUUUGGGCAAUGGGCGAAAGCCUGACCCAGCAACGCCGCGUGAAGGAUGAAAUCCUUCGGGAUGUAAACUUCGCAAGAACGGGAAGAAUAAGUAAGAGCUAACAUACUCUUACGAUGACGGUA
This 473-nucleotide ribosomal RNA is filed under the name uncultured bacterium. Its description in RNAcentral is "bacterial SSU rRNA". It matches the Rfam family "Bacterial small subunit ribosomal RNA", at positions 32 to 477 of the family's 1533-position model. The record is from RNAcentral.